UACGAGGGGGGCAAAUGUUGUUCGGAAUCACUGGGCGUAAAGGGAGCGUAGGCGGGCUCUUAAGUUAGGCGUUUAAUCCCGGGGCCCAACCCCGGACCGGCACUUAAAACUGGGAAUCUUGAAUAGUGGAGAGGACAGUGGAAUUGGGGGUGUAGCGGUGGAAUGCGUAGAGAUCCCCAAGAACACCAGUUGCGAAGGCGGCUGACUGGACACAUAUUGACGCUGAGGCUCGAAAGCAUGGGGAGCAAACAGG
Molecule: ribosomal RNA, 253 nt
Filed under: uncultured bacterium
Lineage: Bacteria
Description: partial 16S ribosomal RNA
Rfam family: Bacterial small subunit ribosomal RNA
Source: RNAcentral